This is a non-coding RNA of Triticum urartu, 1388 nucleotides long. NCBI's taxonomy places the organism in Eukaryota, Viridiplantae, Streptophyta, Magnoliopsida, Poales, Poaceae. The record is from RefSeq and is a predicted model, not a curated record.
GCCGCCUUUUGCCGAGCUGCGGGAUCGACGUCUGACCGCCACCAUGACCGGCCUCUUGCGAAGGUCCCGGUCACAGUCUCCUGUGCCUUUGGACCUUGGGAGCGAAUGGGUGAUUAUAUGCCAGACGCCAAAAGCAAUAUUGCAACACCAUGCGUGAGGAACAUGAUUCUGCCAGUAUUUAAGCAUUAUACUUGCUAACACUGAGAGCUUAAUUAUCUUUGAUGCAACCAGUCCGUCCAAGCAUCCAAAUGUACGAUUCAUGUGCCUAGAAUCAGUACUUUUGCAUGUCUGAUGCAUGCAGAAAUAUCCAAAUGUACGACACCUCAUGGACCCGAUGUGAAGGACAAGUAAGCCAUCCACACGAAGUCGGCGGCAGCAAGGGUGUGGGGCGUCGGGAGGAGCAUCUGGGUUGAAGGUUCUGGCCCUCGCCAUUGAGACUACCGUGUUCGUCGCCGAGUACAUCUGGUCAAGAACAAUUGAUUUUAUCGGCAACAGGAGGCGCUUAUCAGUCGCCAUCAAGUGCCUCAACCAGUGCGGCGUCCAGGGAGACAGAGAUGGUAUGCGGAGUAAGAAGAGUGAUUUAAGGGGAGAGAAAUCAUAACAGGGGUUGGUGGAGCAGAAGAGGGCGAAGGAAGACUUGUGGGGAGCUGCGAGGAAUAGAUUUUGGGAUUUGUUUCCUUAUAGGAUAUCCUGCCGAUUUGAUCUAUUUUUGGCUAGAGCACAUGGGAUCAAACCAGAGGUAAUCAAUUUUCUAUGUUCACCUGAUUAGUUAUAAGGAAUUUAUUACCUCUGUUUUAUUUCCAGGAUACCCAAACCAGUGGUAAUGUUUUUUAUGGCUUUGAAAUUCUGUACAAGGUAAUUACUUGUGGUUUCAAGGUUGCGCAAAGGAGAGGAGGCAUGGUUCAAGGUCGUCUUCUGGCACUGGUUUGCCAGCUAGGUCCUCGACAACAUCUGCGCCUCAUAGACAAGCUAGGGUCAACAAGGAACAAAGGGGUUGACACAUGGAGAAGCGGGAGCAUAAAAUUCAAAAGAGAAAAAAAAUGGGCGUAUUUGGAGCCGGAUGGAAACAUGGGCAGAUUUGGAGCAGUGUGAAGACGGCGCACACUGGUGUUGCAAUGACCAAAAGAGCCGAAGUGAAAGAAGAGAUGGAAUGACAAUGAUGCAACCUUGUCGUGUGAUUCUUGUAUGUAUAUUUGAGGUCGUAGAAAAAUAUGUAUUAGUGAGAUAAAGUGAUGGAGAUGCAUCUUAGGUGGAAAUGGAAGCAGAGCCCAAAGAUAAAUAGAGAAUUAUUAGUUUGUGAAUGAACAUGUGGUGGAAAGAUUGUUUUCUUGUUCAUAUGCCACAUUUUCUUACUAUUUCUACUAAGGUGAGGUGCCUUGUACAUGCCA